UUCCGGUUGAUCCCGCCGGAGGCCAUUGCUCUUGGGGUCCGAUUUAGCCAUGCUAGUCGCACGGGUUCAGACCCGUGGCAAAUAGCUCAGUAGCACGUGGCCAAUCUACCCUCCGGAUCAGCACACCCUCGGGAAACUGAGGCCAAUUCUGUAUACGGCUCCCGACCUGGAAUGGUGGGAGCCCGAAACGCUCCGGCGCCGGAGGAUGAGGCUGCGGCCGAUUAGGUUGACGGUGGGGUAAUGGCCCACCGUGCCGAUAAUCGGUCUGGGUCAUGAGAGUGAGAACCCAGAGACGGACUCUGAGACAAGAUUCCGGGCCCUACGGGGCGCAGCAGGCGCGAAACCUUUACACUGCACGCCAGUGCGAUAAGGGGACCCCAAGUGCGCAGGCAUAGUGCCUGCGCUUUUCUGGACUGUAGGGCGGUCCAGGAACAAGGGCUGGGCAAGACCGGUGCCAGCCGCCGCGGUAAUACCGGCAGCCCAAGUGAUGGCCGCUGUUAUUGGGCCUAAAGCGUCCGUAGCUGGCCGCACAAGUCCGUCGGGAAAUCCGCCCGCUCAACGGGCGGCCGUCCGGCGGAACCUGUGUGGCUUGGGACCGGGAGGCCUGAGGGGUACGAUCGGGGUAGGAGUGAAAUCCUGUAAUCCCGCUCGGACCGCCGAUGGGGAAACCACCUCAGGAGAACGGAUCCGACAGUGAGGGACGAAAGCCAGGGUCUCGAACCGGAUUAGAUACCCGGGUAGUCCUGGCCGUAAACGAUGCUUGUUAGGUGUGACUC
This 776-nucleotide ribosomal RNA is filed under the name uncultured archaeon. RNAcentral's name for it is "bacterial SSU rRNA". It matches the Rfam family "Archaeal small subunit ribosomal RNA", at positions 1 to 779 of the family's 1478-position model. The record is from RNAcentral.